UGCCCAAUGCGGGAAUCGAACCCGGGUCGUAGUGGUUGAAAACCAACGGUUUAGACCAUCCUUCCACCAACCC
This 73-nucleotide transfer RNA is filed under the name Cordylochernes scorpioides. RNAcentral's name for it is "tRNA-Glu". Lineage: Eukaryota; Metazoa; Arthropoda; Arachnida; Pseudoscorpiones; Chernetidae. The record is from RNAcentral.